RNAcentral lists this ribosomal RNA (325 nucleotides) under Dina cf. punctata. RNAcentral describes it as "partial 12S ribosomal RNA". The record is from RNAcentral. Lineage: Eukaryota; Metazoa; Annelida; Clitellata; Hirudinida; Erpobdellidae.
UAGAUUUACAAUUGGGGACUACAAGUUAUUGCUUAAAAACCCAAGAUUUUGGCGGUGUUUUAUUCUAUCAGAGGGAUCUGUCUCAUAAUCGACAACCCACGAAAUAACUAUCUUAUUUUGAUUAUAAGCUUGUGUACUGCCGUCUGUAUAGGCCCUUAAGGUUACCUAUAAUAAAAUUAAAGUGAUUUUACGACAGGUCAAAGUGCAGCAAAUAUUAAGAGGAAGAUGGAUUACAUUCUAUACCAUAGACUAUGAAUUUGUUUAAUACAUAUUUUAAGGAGAAUUUGAUAGUAAUAUUACUAAUAUAGUAUUAUGAAUAAGAUCU